This is a ribosomal RNA of Lucilia cuprina (Australian sheep blowfly), 1737 nucleotides long. It matches the Rfam family "Eukaryotic large subunit ribosomal RNA", at positions 24 to 1888 of the family's 3401-position model. The record is from Rfam. NCBI's taxonomy places the organism in Eukaryota, Metazoa, Arthropoda, Insecta, Diptera, Calliphoridae.
CCCGCUGAACUUAAGCAUAUCAAUAAGCGGAGGAAAAGAAACCAACAGGGAUUGCUCUAGUAACGGCGAGUGAACAAGCAAAAGCUCAGUUUUGAAAGCCUGCUUGCAGGCAUUGUAUUCUGAAGCCUAGAUUCUGGGAAACGGUACUUAAGUCUUCUGGAAAGGAGCGCCACGGAGGGUGAUAGCCCCGUACGGUACUGACCCCAUUGUAGUUUCUAGGCGUGGAGUCGAGUUGUUUGGGAAUGCAGCUCAAAUGGGAGGUAUGCUCCUUCUAAAGCUAAAUAUUUGCGAGAGACCGAUAGCGAACAAGUACUGUGAAGGAAAGAUGAAAAGAACUUUGAAAAGAGAGUGAAAUAGGACGUGAAAUUGUUGAAAUGGAAGGGUAGGCCGCUAACCAUGUAGGACCGUGUUUGAGGGGAAGAUAAAAGCUUCGGAAUGUAGCUCCUCGGAGUGUUAUAGCCGGAGUCAAUGUUCCCACUCGAGCGCGAGGUUCUCAGGUUCUACUAAAUGGUGGUCUACCACCCGUCUUGAAACACGGACCAAGGAGUCUAUUGCCUGCGCGAGUAUUUGGGUGUCAAACCCAUAUGCGAAGUGAAAGCGAGUGGUUCGAACUUUUUGUUCAGAAUCGGCCGACCGUUUAUAGAAACGGAUUGAGUUGAGCGUAAGUGAUGGGACCCGAAAGAUGGUGAACUAUGCCUGAAUAGGGUGAAGCCAGAGGAAACUCUGGUGGAGGCUCGCAGCGGUUCUGACGUGCAAAUCGAUCGUCAAAUUUGGGUAUAGGGGCGAAAGACUAAUCGAACCAUCUAGUAGCUGGUUCCUGCCGAAGUUUCCCUCAGGAUAGCAGAAGCUCGUAUCAGUUUUAUGGGGUAAAGCGAAUGAUUAGAGGUAUUGGGAUUGAAACGAUCUUGACCUAUUCUCAAACUUUGAAUAUGUAAAACGUCCUUGUUACUUAGUUGAACUUGGACUCUUGAAUGAAGAGCUUUUAGUGGGCCAUUUUUGGUAAGCAGAACUGGCGAUGCGGGAUGAACCGAACGUGAAGUUAAGGUGCCGGAGUGUACGCUCAUCAGACACCACAAAAGGUGUUAGUUCAUCUAGACAGCCGGACGGUGGCCAUGGAAGUCGGAAUCCGCUAAGGAGUGUGUAACAACUCACCGGCCGAAUGAACUAGCCCUGAAAAUGGAUGGCGCUCAAGCGUACCACCUAUACUUCACCCACAGCCGUGACUAUCGGUUGUGGAGUAGGCAGGCGUGGAGGUUGUGUAGAAGCUUAGGGCGUGAGCCUGAGUCGAACGGCCUCUAGUGCAGAUCUUGGUGGUAGUAGCAAAUAUUCAAAUGAGAACUUUGAAGACUGAAGUGGAGAAAGGUUCCGUUGGAACAGCAGUUGGCAACGGGUUAGUCGAUCCUAACUGGUACCUUAACGGGAGUAAUAGUUCAAUUUUUUGAGCGUCCAGGAAAGGGAAUCCGGUUAAUAUUCCGGAACUUGGGUAUGGACCCACGGCAACGUAACUGAAUGUGGAGACACUGGCACGAUCCCCGGGAGGAGUUAUCUUUUCUUUUUAACGGCGGACAGACCCUGAAAUUGGAUUGACCAGCGCUAGGGUGUGUACGUCGGAUGAGCCCCACGCUUCUGUGGGGUCCGGUGCGCUCGUGACGGUCCUUGAAAAUCCGCAGGAAGGACGUUUCAUACCAAGUCGUACUGAUAACCGCAGCAGGUCUCCAAGGUUAACAGCCUCUAGUU